RNAcentral lists this ribosomal RNA (915 nucleotides) under uncultured bacterium. RNAcentral describes it as "bacterial SSU rRNA". It matches the Rfam family "Bacterial small subunit ribosomal RNA", at positions 66 to 978 of the family's 1533-position model. The record is from RNAcentral.
ACGGCAGCACGGGAGCAAUCCUGGUGGCGAGUGGCGAACGGGUGAGUAAUAUAUCGGAACGUGCCCAGUCGUGGGGGAUAACGCAGCGAAAGCUGUGCUAAUACCGCAUACGAUCUCUGGAUGAAAGCGGGGGACUCGCAAUGGCCUCGCGCGAUUGGAGCGGCCGAUAUCAGAUUAGGUAGUUGGUGUGGUAAAAGCUCACCAAGCCGACGAUCUGUAGCUGGUCUGAGAGGACGACCAGCCACACUGGAACUGAGACACGGUCCAGACUCCUACGGGAGGCAGCAGUGGGGAAUUUUGGACAAUGGGCGCAAGCCUGAUCCAGCAAUGCCGCGUGCAGGAUGAAGGCCUUCGGGUUGUAAACUGCUUUUGUACGGAACGAAACGGUCUGCUUUAAUACAGUGGGCUAAUGACGGUACCGUAAGAAUAAGCACCGGCUAACUACGUGCCAGCAGCCGCGGUAAUACGUAGGGUGCGAGCGUUAAUCGGAAUUACUGGGCGUAAAGCGUGCGCAGGCGGUUAUAUAAGACAGAUGUGAAAUCCCCGGGCUCAACCUGGGACCUGCAUUUGUGACUGUAUAGCUAGAGUACGGUAGAGGGGGAUGGAAUUCCGCGUGUAGCAGUGAAAUGCGUAGAUAUGCGGAGGAACACCGAUGGCGAAGGCAAUCCCCUGGACCUGUACUGACGCUCAUGCACGAAAGCGUGGGGAGCAAACAGGAUUAGAUACCCUGGUAGUCCACGCCCUAAACGAUGUCAACUGGUUGUUGGGUCUUCACUGACUCAGUAACGAAGCUAACGCGUGAAGUUGACCGCCUGGGGAGUACGGCCGCAAGGUUGAAACUCAAGGAAUUGACGGGGACCCGCACAAGCGGUGGAUGAUGUGGUUUAAUCGAUGCAACGCAAAAACCUUACCCAC